CGGAGGCGGAGGCGGAGGAGGAGGCGGCGCUCCCGCUCGGCCGUAGAGCGGCGCAGGGACCCGCGCGGCCGUGACCCGGCGGCCACCCAGAGGCCGAGCGCGGCCGCAGCGGACAAAGGAGCAUGUCGGCGCCGAGGAGGGCGCGUCCUCCGGCCGCCACAAGGCUCCGGGCGCCCCCGGGCCCGCGCUGCGCUCUCGUCCGCCCGGGCGCCGGGGCGGCCCGCUAGGCCAGCGCUCCGCCGCUCGGCCGGCAGGCCCCGACCCGCCGCCCAGCCCGCAGCAUGGAGCCGUCCGAGCGCCUGCGGGGCCGCGCGCCGCCGCCUCUGUUGCUGCCGCUGGCUCUGCUCGCGCUGCUGGGAGGCGGCGGCGGGGCCGCGGCGCUGCCCCCGGGCUGCAAGCACGACGGGCGGCCCCGAGGGGCCGGCAGGGCGGCGGGCGCCGCAGAGGGCAAGGUGGUGUGCAGCAGCCUGGAGCUCGCGCAGGUCCUGCCCCCGGACACGGUGCCCAACUGCACGGUCACCCUGAUUCUGAGUAACAAUAAAAUAUCCGAGCUGAAGAAUGGCUCAUUUUCUGGGUUAAGUCUCCUUGAAAGAUUGGACCUCCGAAACAAUCUUAUUAGUAGUAUAGAUCCAGGUGCCUUUUGGGGACUGUCAUCGCUAAAAAGAUUGGAUCUGACAAACAAUCGAAUAGGGUGUCUGAAUGCAGACAUAUUCCGAGGACUCACCAAUCUGGUUAGGCUAAACCUUUCAGGGAAUUUGUUUUCAUCAUUAUCUCAAGGAACUUUUGAUUAUCUUGGCUCAUUACGAUCUUUAGAAUUUCAGACUGAGUAUCUGCUGUGUGAUUGUAACAUACUGUGGAUGCAUCGCUGGGUAAAGGAGAGAAACAUCACGGUACGGGACACACGGUGUGUUUAUCCUAAGUCUCUUCAGGCCCAGCCAGUCACAGGUGUGAAGCAGGAGUUGUUGACGUGCGAUCCUCCCCUUGAAUUACCAUCUUUCUACAUGACUCCAUCUCAUCGUCAAGUUGUGUUUGAAGGAGACAGCCUUCCUUUCCAGUGCAUGGCUUCAUAUAUUGAUCAAGACAUGCAAGUGUUAUGGUAUCAGGAUGGGCGAAUAGUCGAAACUGAUGAAUCCCAAGGUAUCUUUGUUGAAAAGAACAUGAUUCACAACUGCUCAUUGAUUGCAAGUGCCCUAACCAUUUCUAAUAUUCAGGCUGGAUCGACUGGAAAUUGGGGCUGUCAUGUCCAGUCCAAACGUGGGAACAAUACGAGAACCGUCGAUAUUGUGGUCUUAGAAAGCUCUGCGCAGUACUGUCCUCCCGAGAGGGUGGUAAACAAUAAAGGGGAUUUCAGGUGGCCCAGAACACUGGCAGGCAUUACUGCACAUCUGCAGUGUACUCGGAAUACCCACAGCGGUGGGAUCUAUCCUGGAAACGCACAGGAUGAGAGAAAGGCCUGGCGCAGAUGUGAUCGAGGUGGCUUUUGGGCGGAUGAUGAUUAUUCUCGCUGCCAAUAUGCAAAUGAUGUCACUAGAGUUCUUUAUAUGUUUAAUCAGAUGCCCCUCAAUCUUACCAACGCUCUGGCCACAGCCCGACAAUUAUUGGCUUACACGGUGGAAGCAGCCAACUUUUCUGACAAGAUGGAUGUUAUAUUUGUGGCUGAAAUGAUAGAGAAAUUUGGAAGAUUUACUAAAGAGGAAAAAUCAAAAGAGCUCGGUGAUGUGAUGGUUGACAUUGCAAGUAACAUCAUGUUGGCUGACGAGCGUGUCCUGGGGCUGGCGCAGAGGGAAGCUAAAGCCUGCAGUAGGAUCGUUCAGUGUCUACAGCGCGUCGCCACGUACCGGCUAGCAACUGGAGCUCAUGUUUAUUCAACAUAUUCACCCAAUAUUGCUCUGGAAGCUUAUGUCAUCAAGGCUGCUGGCUUCACUGGGAUGACAUGUACCGUGUUCCAGAAAGUGGCAGCUACUGACCGGACAGGCUUUUCUGACUAUGGGAGGCGGGAUCCGGAUGGAAACCUGGAUAAACAGCUGAGCUUUAAGUGCAAUGUUUCAAAUACAUUUUCAAGUCUGGCUCUGAAGAAUACUAUUGUAGAGGCUUCUAUUCAGCUUCCUCCUUCCCUUUUCUCACCAAAGCAAAAAAGAGAAGUCAGACCAAGUGAUGACUCUCUCUAUAAGCUUCAACUCAUCGCAUUCCGCAAUGGAAAGCUUUUUCCAGCCACCGGGAAUUCGACAAAUUUGGCUGAUGAUGGAAAACGGCGUACAGUGGUUACCCCAGUGAUUCUCACCAAAAUAGAUGGUGUGAACAUUGACACCCACCACAUCCCUGUUAAUGUGACCCUGCGUCGAAUUGCGCACGGAGCAGAUCCUGUGGCCGCCCAGUGGGAUUUCGAUUUGCUGAACGGACAAGGAGGCUGGACGUCAGAUGGGUGCCGUAUACUCUGCUCAGAUGAAAAUAUCACUGCCAUUCAGUGCUACUCCCUUAGUAACUAUGCGGUUUUAAUGGAUUUGACGGGAUCUGCACUCUAUACCCAGGCAGCCAAUCUCUUGCACCCUGUGGUCUAUACCACGGCUGUCAUUCUUCUCUUCUGCCUCUUAGUGGUCAUCGUCAGUUACAUAUACCAUCACAGUUUGAUUAGAAUCAGUCUCAAAGGCUGGCACAUGCUUGUGAACUUAUGCUUUCAUAUUUUUCUGACAUGUGUGAUCUUUGUGGGAGGAGUAACUCAAACUAGAAAUGCCAGCGUCUGCCAAGCAGUUGGAAUAAUUCUUCAUUAUUCCACCCUUGCUACAGUUCUCUGGGUGGGAGUGACAGCUCGAAAUAUCUACAAACAAGUCACUAGAAAAGCUAAAAGAUGCCAGGAUCCUGAUGAGUUGCCACCUCCACCAAGACCAAUGCUCAGGUUUUACCUGAUCGGUGGCGGGAUACCCGUUAUAGUUUGCGGCAUAACAGCAGCAGCAAACAUCAAGAAUUACGGUAGUCGGCCAAAUGCGCCCUACUGCUGGAUGGCAUGGGAACCCUCCUUGGGAGCCUUCUACGGGCCUGCAAGCUUCAUCACUUUUGUAAACUGUAUGUACUUUCUAAGCAUAUUUAUUCAGUUGAAAAGACACCCUGAGCGCAAAUACGAGCUGAAGGAACCCAGUGAGGAGCAGCAGAGGCUGGCAGCCAACGAAAAUGGCGAAGUAAAUCAUCAGGAUUCCCUGUCUCUCUCCCUCAUUUCGACGUCAGCCCUGGAAAAUGAGCAUACUUUCCAUUCUCAACUUCUGGGAGCCAGCCUUACCUUGCUCUUAUAUGUCGCUUUGUGGAUGUUUGGGGCCUUGGCUGUUUCUUUGUAUUACCCUUUAGACUUGGUUUUUAGCUUCUUUUUUGGAGCCACGUGUUUGAGCCUCAGUGCGUUUAUCGUGGUUCACCAUUGUGUCAACAGGGAGGACGUCCGGCUCGCGUGGAUCAUGACUUGCUGCCCGGGCCGGAGCGCGUACUCGGUCCAGGUCAACGUGCAGCCCCCCAGCUCCAGUGGGCCGAGCGGGGAGGCCCCCAAGUGCACCAACAGCAGCACAGAAUCUUCGUGCACAAACAAGAGUGCAUCGAGCUUCAAAAACUCCUCCCAGGGCUGCAAAUUAACAAACUUGCAGGCUGCUGCAGCUCAGUGCCAUAGCAACUCUCUACCUUUGAACGCCACACCUCAGCUUGACAAUAGUCUGACAGAGCAUUCGAUGGACAACGAUAUUAAAAUGCAUGUGGCGCCUUUAGAAGUUCCAUUUCGAACAAACGUGCACCCAAGCCGCCAUCAUAAGAACAGAAGUAAAGGGUACCGGGCCAGCAGACUCACAGUCCUAAGAGAAUAUGCCUAUGACGUCCCCACGAGCGUGGAAGGCAGCGUGCAGAAUGGCCUGUCGAAAAGCCGGCCGGGCAGUAAUGAAGGACACUCUCGGAGCCGAAGGGCUUACUUAGCCUACAGAGAGAGACAGUACAACCCUCCCCAACAAGAUAGCAGUGAUGCUUGUAGCACACUUCCCAAAAGCAGCAGGAAUUUUGAAAAGCCCGUUUCAACUAGUAGUAAAAAAGAUGCAUUAAGGAAGCCAACUGUAGUUGAACUUGAAAGUCAGCAGAAGUCUUAUGGCCUCAACUUGGCCAUUCAGAACGGACCAAUCAAAAGCACUGGGCAGGAUGGACCCUUGCUGGGUAUGGAUAGCACUGGCAAUGUGAGGACUGGAUUAUGGAAACACGAAACUACUGUGUAGCAUUGGUGGGCUUCCUGGGCAGAAAUCCAUAUAAACUGUGAUACUCACAUUCCUUUAAGCUAUGAACAUGUAAAAACCGACUGUUUACAGCCAACUUAGGGAUUCAAAAGAAUUUUGAAUAAACUUCAACUGAGGCUCAAAGAGUUUCUUACCUGCUGAAGUACCAGCAGGUUAUGCCACAUCCUGGACCAGGUCCAUGUUCUCUGAUGCCACGGCCGCUGUGCUUUGAUUGCUUCUCUGAAGGCAAGCACCCGUGCUCUUCACAGUGUCUUAUUAUGUAUAAUUUUACUAAACUUUAUUCUCAUCCUGGUUAUUUUGAGUUUUGUUUUGUUUUAAAUUUCAUUUAUUUAUUUAUUUUUGGCUGCGUUGGGUCUUUGUUGCUGCACGCGGGCUUUCUCCAGUUGCGGAGAUCAGGGGCCACUCUUUGUUGAGUGUGCCAGCCUCCCAUUGCGGUGGCUUCUCUGGUUGCGGAGCACGGGCUCUAGGCGCACAGGCUUCAGCAGUUGUGGCACGCGGGCUCAGUAGUUGUGGUACGUGGCCUCCAGAGAGCAGGCUCAGUAGUUGUGGCUCACGGGCCCAGUUGCUCCGUGGCUUGUGGGAUCUUCCCAGACCAGGGAUCCAACCCAUGUUCCCUGCAUUGGCAGGCAGACUCCUAACCACUGUGCCACCAGGGAAGUCCCUAUUUUGAGUUUUAAUUUCAUAAUGAGAUAUAAUUGGUCAUAUUCUACUUAAGGAAACACACAUGAUUUAUUCCAUGAAAGUUUUUCUUUAAAUCAAGCUGUUAUAUACUAUGUAAUGUGUGUACUAUGCACACUUUAUAUAUAUAUAUAAUGAUGUUAUAUGCUAAUCUAUUUUUAGGUAACAAUUAGAAAUUAGGUUUGUGUAUGAGUAUUUUUUGUGAUUUAUAUACAGGUGUAAAAGUAUGUUAAUAUUUCAGGUUGUAAAUAGGUGGCAACUAAUUUCUAAAUCUCAGGCUAUUUUGCACGUGUAACUUAAUGUAACUCUACAUCCAUGUUCACUAUUUAUCUAAAUUGGUAUAAUAUAAACAGAUGGCAAUUUAUGUGUAGAUGCUAAGGUUUAGAUUGUGUUUAUUAUUGAGAAGUAACAAUGUUAAAACCUUUAGGCCUGUGUAUUUCAGGCAUUGAGUUCAAAUACCCAAACUGAAGUUGGUUGAGACCAUAAAAAAUGAGGAAGUAAAAAAAUUAGCUGAAUGCGUUUGAUGCAGGAAUUAAACUAAAUCAUCAAGUUAAGUGUUGCAUACAACAGCAAUCCGAAAUUUAAAACAAAUGUUAAUUUUGUUUUUCCUUUCACAUUCCCAGAAUCAUUCAAUUACUUUAAUAUUCACUUCAGUGCUCUUAGCUAAGAAAUGAUUUGAUUAUUUAUAACUACUUAACGAUAUUUCCCGAACUUAAGUCAUUUUAUCACUUACGCCAAUUUUGCUGUAUUUUCCCUAAAUUUAUAUUAAUACUGUCAUAUGGAUCAACUCACUUGUUUUCCCACUGAAAUAUAAGUAGUAAUAAAACCAAUAGAUUUAUUUGUAUAAAUAAAGCAAACUCUUCAAGGAGAAAUUUGUAACUUUAUAAAUUUGUUAGUAAUAAAAAUCUUUGACUAUAUGUUGCUUGGUUUUAGACAAAGAUGAAAUAGCAAUCAAUAAGAUUUUUUUUAAGUUUUGGUAUUAAUUGAACUUUCUUCCCAACCUACCUACGGGUCUCCAGUCUAGAACCAUGUCUUAUAUUGGCCAUUAGAGGCUCAUAGCCAGUGGUAAUACUGGAAUACUGGAGGCAUCAAUUGAGGAACAUAAGUUGAGUAUUAACUUAAUCACUGUAGGUUAAUGAGUCCUGUCUUUCUACCUUCCGUGGUGUACCCAGCUCUGUGUGGCAUGAAGUCUCAGGCAGCCUCUGGUCGUAGGUUUUUUUCAGCAUCUUUUCACCGUGGAUGUCAUUGACUCAGAGGUGGAUACUGAGUGUGAACUUACAGGACCAUAAUAUUAAUAUUAAGAACCCCCCAUUUGUAUAGUCAGCAGUGGACCGCUACCUUUGCUUAUAGAGUUUGAUGCUUAGAAUUAGCUUAGAACUUGUUUAACGAAGUUUUGCUUCGUUCUGUUUGAAACAUGUACUGUCCUUCUGUGUCAUGUAUAUAAAAUGGUAGAAGGAAAAAGAGUUAAAUUCCGUUGUAUGCUGCUGCCAUCUAGUUUGAGCCUAUCUGAUGAAGGCUUUUAUUUACCAGAGUAUUCUAAGUAUAUUCAAAAAGUUCAAAAUAUUUUCAGAGGGCUCUUCAGAUAUAGUCCUUAAUGGGGUUGUUCCAACAAUAUAAAGAAUUCAGCUAAUCAUAUUUUCAAUUUUGCAAUCAUUGUGUUCAUUCUGUCUUGGCAUAUAAUAUUGAUGAAGUUUUGCUUGUACAGAAAAAUUGAGUGUUCAGAUGAGCAAAUAUAUGCAACUUAUGAUUGCUUGCAAAGCCAGGUCUAGUCAUGUGUACCAACUCAGGUUGAAGAUUGUGUCUAGGAAGAUACUCCACGUGAAAGUAAUGAACUCCAGUUCUAAACAGGUAUUUUUUGUUAUCAGUGUCCAUUCCUUUAUGAAACUGUGUAAAAACGUCAAUUUGGUGGCCAACCAUGGUUAACAAAUUUUUACCGCUUAGUUUUUUUUUUUUAACUUUCAUGUUGAGUCUGGGUAAACUUUUUUAAAAAGUCAACAUUUUAGAGGCUUAACGCAAUAAAAGUUUCUUGCUGAA
This is an RNA transcript of Balaenoptera acutorostrata (minke whale), 6962 nucleotides long. It is a transcript of the gene named adhesion G protein-coupled receptor A3, with no coding region annotated. Lineage: Eukaryota; Metazoa; Chordata; Mammalia; Artiodactyla; Balaenopteridae. The transcript is spliced from 20 exons. The record is from RefSeq and is a predicted model, not a curated record.